This is a long non-coding RNA of Ostrinia nubilalis (European corn borer), 3836 nucleotides long. RefSeq lists it as uncharacterized. The record is from RefSeq and is a predicted model, not a curated record. NCBI's taxonomy places the organism in Eukaryota, Metazoa, Arthropoda, Insecta, Lepidoptera, Crambidae. The transcript is spliced from 3 exons.
AUAAUCUGUGGCAUUUCAAGACUCCGACAGAGCGACAGAGUGAUUCUUUAUUUUUGUUAUUGUUUGAUAUAAAUCUUAUCGAUUUAAAAAGAAACAGAAGAAAGCAGGAAAAACUAAAUAGGUAUAUAAUUCCAGAAAAAUAUGUUUAAAAAGUUGGGUUAAAGGAUUUCUGUGUUAAUUUUAGCGUCAAUUCCUGAUAGAACGCAAAAAUGUUUACUCGCUAUUUGCCCAAGUCUAAAAACAAGUUAUUUGCUUUAUUUAUGUUUAUAACGCUUACGGUUAGUGCUUUGUAUCUUUAUUUGAACAAUUUGCAAGAGAAAAGUACUGUUCAAUCUUCGGGAGAGAGAUGUUUAACUGAAUUAUCGUCUCUGAAAUAUCAGUUGAAUGAGGUGACCCAGUAUAAAGAUCGUAUAGACAAAUUGUUAACAGAGACACAAAAAGCUCAUGAAUUAGACAAGGAACGGUUUAAGGACAUUAUGGAAAGUUGUGUUGCCAUGAAACAACAGUCUACAAUAUGUCAGAGUCAAUUUGAAGAUCUCCAAAGUGAGUGUAAAAAGGUUCGGGAUGACUACAACAAAUUGAAGAAAAGUUUAAAUAUAUGAAUCGCAACUGGUGAAGUAAUGAAAAUGAUUUUAAAAUAAGAAAUUACAAUUUACAACUUCUAUACAGGGUGUUAGGUAAAUGGGUAUAUGAGCCGGCAGUAGCCCAUGUUAACAUGGUCAUAUAAAUGGUAUGGUGAAGUCAGAAAUUAGAUAUAAUCAUUUUAUUUUUUUUUAAUUUUCAUACAAAAUAAAUUUUAUAAAAUCCGAUUUGUAUGAAAAUUAAAAUAAUUAAAAUGAAGAUAUCAAUUUUCUAACUUCACCAUACCAUUUAUAUGACCAUGUUAACAUGGGCUAGUGUCGGCUCAUAUACCCAUUUACCUAACACCCUGUAUUUUGAAUAUUGUGUUACAUGUAUAACUAGUCAUAUAUUCAAUUUUUUAUGUAUUAUUAAACAAUAUACAGGGUGUUUGGCGCAUCGUGUGCCAAAAUGAUUUGGCGGAUAGAAUGGGUCAUUUCCUAUAUUUUCAGCCCCCAUAACACGUUCCAUGUCAGGCGGCUACUUUUAUAUUAAUUUUUUUAGUAAUUUCACCAAAAUACCCAAAUCGAAUCAUUUAAUUUCGAUUUAAAAAAAAACUACUAGGCGUAGCCUCAAAGUAAAUAUUUUGUUUUGACGUGCAUUGAUGUAGGGUUGCAUCAAAUCUAAAUUACUGGCAAAUAUCAUCCAGUUUUUUUUUAAUUCAGCUUUGAAGUUUUCCUAAAAGUUAAAAAUGGACUGAACAUUUAAGUUUACAUGGCUAUAAAAAAAUAAAUAAAAGAGAUAGCGAUCUUCGGAUUUUAUCAAAACUUCUCUAGUCUAUCCCCAUUUAAACGGUAUACUAAUCUUGUUUAAAUAAUAACAAUAACUUCACAAAUUCCUUAAAUUAGUGCAUUGACUCUACUCGGACUGAUUUGCGAAAUUUGUGUUUAUAGCCCCUUUUGUGUGAAUAGCACUUUAUUAAACACCUAACAGGUAAACAUUAUUUAUCUUAUGCAAUGUAAAAACCUUUACCCUAUCGUUUUUCAAUGUGGAUUUCUUGAAAUUAAAGACGGAAAUAAUUAUUUUGAUCGUUUAUUAAUUAUUACAAAUUUUGUUCAAAAUGACCGUCUCGGCAACGUAUACACUCACGACAUCUUCUUCUAAUUUUAACUGUUGUCGUAUGCAGCCACAUUUCUCUUUUUAUUACUACAAAGGCGUUUUCUACUCGUGGAUUGGAAGAGAUGGCCCUAUACAGUGGCCUGCACGUUCCCCAGACCUAAUUCCGUUAGAUUUUUACGUCUGGGGACGAGCUAAAGAACUGGUGUACGUAACGGAUUCAAACAAUAGAAGAACUACAACAACGAAUAGAAAACGCCUUUGUAGUAAUAAAAAGAGAAAUGUGGCUGCAUACGACAACAGUCGAAAUUAGAAGAAGAUGUCGUGAGUGUAUACGUUGCCGAGGCGGACAUUUUGAACAAAAUUUGUAAUAAUUAAUAAACGAUCAAAAUAAUUAUUUUCGUCCUUAAAUUCAAGAAAUCCACAUUGAAAAACGAUAGGGAAAAGGUUUUUACAUUGCAUAAGAUAAAUAUUUUUUACCUGUUAGGUGUUUAAUAACGUGCUAUUCACACAAAAGGGGCUAUAAACACAAAUUUCGCAAAUCAGUCCGAGUAGAGUCAAUGCACUAAUUUAAGGAAUUUGUGAAGUUAUUGUUAUUAUUUAAACAAGAUUAGUAUACCGUUUAAAUGGAGAUAGACUAGAGAAGUUUUGAUAAAAUCCGAAGAUCGCUAUCUCUUUUAUUUAUUUUUUUAUAGCCAUGUAAACUUAAAUGUUCAGUCCAUUUUUAACUUUUAGAAAAACUUCAAAACUGAAUUUAAAAAAAACUAGAUGAUAUUUGCCAGUAAAUUUAGAUUUGAUGCAACCCUACAUCAAUGCACGUCAAAACAAAAUAUUUACUUUGAGGCUACGCCUAGUAGUUUUUUUUAAAUCGAAAUUAAAUGAUGCGAUUUGGGUAUUUUGGUGAAAUUACUAAAAAAAUUAAUAUAAAAGUAGCCGCCCGGCAUGGAACGUGUUAUGGGGGCUGAAAAUAUAGGAAAUGACCCAUUCUAUCUGCCAAAUCAUUUUGGCACACGAUGCGCCAAACACCCUGUAUUUUAUUAUAUUGUACUACAAUUAAAUAACAAAGAAAUUAGACCUUCAACUCGUAUGUUAUCAUACUAUUUAUUUAGGUAGAUUUUUUAAUAGUGAUAUAUUUAUUCUAUCAAUUGUUUCAUAUGAUUACUUUAACUAUUUUAUUGAUGUCUGUAUCGGAAAAAUUGAGAUGUAAUUAAUUUAAAAAAUACUGACUAAUAUAUUCAUUGAUGGUGAAAGUCAGGUUGGCAAACAUUUAAACAAUAGAUUACUGAUCAUGUAUCAUAGAACAGUUGGGAACCAGCGGCAGGCAUUUCCUCUUGUAAUAAAUGAAUGUCUUUUUAUCAACAAUAUUUAUGAUUGAUGCAUUUUAUACAAAUACAUUUUAUAGCUUUACACCGCAAGGGGAAAUUAAAUGCCAAAAUGGCACUAUGGGAACAUUAUCUAGGUACUUAAAUUUGAGGAGAGAAAAAAAGACUUAUGAUCUUGGAUUCGAGAUGGUUAUCUCAGUUUAUUAUUUACAAAAUUUUGCCGACUUGUCCUUCACCUUCUGUAAUGUUAUAUUUCAUGUAGAUAUAGUAGUUCAGAUGUAAAUAGUGUUUGUAGGUUGUAGCUACAUUUAGAAGCCAGCAGGCUGAAAAACAAGCUAUUGGAAAUUAUUAUGUAUUUUAUUGUAAUUUAUUUUCAUCAUUAACAGUUUGUAUGCAUUUAAAUCCCACUUGUAAAACAACAAAAACCUUACUGAGUAGCAAGUGCAGAAAGGUUGAAUUACAUGUUACAUGUUUUUUAAUGAUAUAACUUGUACGUUAAAAUUUGAGUAUAAAAUAAUAAUACAUAUUUCUGUCACACUCGCCAUCCAAGAAAUUUUACUUUUUAAUUUUUUUUUAAAGAAUACCUGACUCUGUUUUGCUCGUAAAAAUUAGAUUGAAAUAGUUCUAUCUACCUACAUAGUUAAUACAUAUUAUAAUAACUCUACAUUGUCUAUGAAGUGUAAUCUUUUACUAACAUUUAUAAAAAUAUGAAAGCAUAGAAAAUUGAUGUCCUUAACAAAAAUUUUAAAUACAUAUAUUUAGAGAAACAUUGCUCAAAGAAGCGUUAAUGUAUAAUGAAAAUGUUUUUCGGACAAUAAAAUGAUAGAUUUGAAAGUUUGU